GAUGAACGCUGGCGGCGUGCCUAAUACAUGCAAGUCGAGCGAACGGACGAGAAGCUUUCUUCUCUGAUGUUAGCGGCUGACGGGUGUGUAACACGUGGAUAACCUACCUAUAAGACUUGGAUAACUUCGGGAAACCGUAUCUAAUACCGGAUAAUAUUUUGAACCGCAUGGUUCAAAAGUGAAAGACGGUCUUGCUGUCACUUAUAGAUGGAUCCGCGCUGCAUUAGCUAGUUGGUAAGGUAACGGCUUACCAAGGCAACGAUGCAUAGCCGACCUGAGAGGGUGAUCGGCCACACUGGAACUGAGACACGGUCCAGACUCCUACGGGAGGCAGCAGUAGGGAAUCUUCCGCAAUGGGCGAAAGCCUGACGGAGCAACGCCGCGUGAGUGAUGAAGGUCUUCGGAUCGUAAAACUCUGUUAUUAGGGAAGAACAUAUGUGUAAGUAACUGUGCACAUCUUGACGGUACCUAAUCAGAAAGCCACGGCUAACUACGUG
Molecule: ribosomal RNA, 497 nt
Filed under: uncultured bacterium
Lineage: Bacteria
Description: partial 16S ribosomal RNA
Rfam family: Bacterial small subunit ribosomal RNA
Source: RNAcentral